GAUGGGGAAAGGAAAGUACACUGGAUCUCAUGGCAAAAAAUGUGUGAAUCAAAAAGAGAUGGAGGACUGGGUUUUCGAGACCCUGAAGCUUUCAAUCAAGCCUUAUUAGCAAAGUAGGCUUGGCGGAUCUUGCAGAACCCUUCUUCCCUAUGCGCUAGGGUCCUCAAGGCCCGGUAUUUCAGCGAGGACACGAUACUUACAGCAACUUGCUCAAGCACGGCGUCUUACACUUUUCGUAGUAUUUUGCACGGGAGAGAC
RNAcentral lists this ribosomal RNA (258 nucleotides) under Triticum aestivum (bread wheat). RNAcentral describes it as "partial small subunit ribosomal RNA". The record is from RNAcentral. Lineage: Eukaryota; Viridiplantae; Streptophyta; Magnoliopsida; Poales; Poaceae.